UAAUAAGUGUUUUAUGGCACUUUUUAAAUCCAUAUCCACCUUGUGUGCAAUGUCAGUCGAUCUUCUUUUAUGGAGGAUCGACCAAACAUCAACCUUUAUUUUUAACUCUUUGUCUGAAAAAUAUUAUGAAUAAACAAUUCAAAAUA
Molecule: unclassified non-coding RNA, 146 nt
Filed under: soil metagenome
Description: partial internal transcribed spacer 1
Source: RNAcentral